UUUCCGUAGGUGAACCUGCGGAAGGAUCAUUACAAAUCUUUUGCGAGUGUUGGAGCUUGAGCGUAGCAUCUCACAACAUUUUGCAACAUUUACACAAGGUCGAAAGGCUUUGAUGUUCACGCUUGUAUGUUUGACAGAGUUAGUUGAGACAAUAACAAAGACAACUUUUAACAAUGGAUCUCUUGGCUCUUGCAUCGAUGAAGAACGCAGC
Molecule: unclassified non-coding RNA, 211 nt
Filed under: uncultured fungus
Lineage: Eukaryota; Fungi
Description: sequence contains ITS1, 5.8S rRNA gene
Rfam family: 5.8S ribosomal RNA (bases 163-211)
Source: RNAcentral